AUCCAACUGAUGCGAGUCCCAAAUAGGACGAAAUGUGCAUCCUGGCUGUAU
This 51-nucleotide non-coding RNA is filed under the name Trichobilharzia regenti. The record is from RNAcentral. Lineage: Eukaryota; Metazoa; Platyhelminthes; Trematoda; Strigeidida; Schistosomatidae.